UGGAACGCAUACACCUCAAGCUAGC
Molecule: non-coding RNA, 25 nt
Filed under: Mus musculus (house mouse)
Lineage: Eukaryota; Metazoa; Chordata; Mammalia; Rodentia; Muridae
Source: RNAcentral